Molecule: ribosomal RNA, 1003 nt
Filed under: uncultured bacterium
Lineage: Bacteria
Description: bacterial SSU rRNA
Rfam family: Bacterial small subunit ribosomal RNA
Source: RNAcentral
AAAUGACUGUACCCGAAUAAGAAAGUCCGGCUAACUUCGUGCCAGCAGCCGCGGUAAUACGAAGGGACCUAGCGUAGUUCGGAAUUACUGGGCUUAAAGAGUUCGUAGGUGGUUGAAAUAGUUGGUGGUGAAUCCCAGAGCUUAACUCUGGAACUGCCAUCAAAACUUUUCAGCUAGAGUAUGAUAGAGGAAAGCAGAAUUUCUAGUGUAGAGGUGAAAUUCGUAGAUAUUAGAAAGAAUACCAAUUGCGAAGGCAGCUUUCUGGAUCAUUACUGACACUGAGGAACGAAAGCAUGGGUAGCGAAGAGGAUUAGAUACCCUCGUAGUCCAUGCCGUAAACGAUGUGUGUUAGACGUUGGAAAUUUAUUUUCAGUGUCGCAGGGAAACCGAUAAACACACCGCCUGGGGAGUACGACCGCAAGGUUAAAACUCAAAUGAAUUGACGGGGACCCGCACAAGUAGUGGAGCAUGUGGUUUAAUUCGAAGAUACGCGCAGAACCUUACCAACACUUGACAUGUUCGUCGCGACUCUAAGAGAUUAGAGUUUUCGGUUCGGCCGGACGAAACACAGGUGCUGCAUGGCUGUCGUCAGCUCGUGUCGUGAGAUGUUGGGUUAAGUCCCGCAACGAGCGCAACCCUCACCUUUAGUUGCCAUCAUUAAGUUGGGCACUCUGAAAGAACUGCCAGUGAUAAGCUGGAGGAAGGUGGGGAUGACGUCAAGUCCUCAUGGCCCUUACGUGUUGGGCUACACACGUGCUACAAUGGUAUCUACAACAGGAAGCAAGACUGCGAAGUUAAGCAAAUCCCUAAAAGAUACCUCAGUUCGGAUUGCACUCUGCAACUCGAGUGCAUGAAGCUGGAAUUACUAGUAAUCGUGGAUCAGCGUGCCACGGUGAAUGCGUUCCCGGGUCUUGUACACACCGCCCGUCACACCAUGGGAGUUGGUUCUACCUUAAGGCAAGGUUUCAAACCCUUGACCACGGUAUAGUCAGCGACUGGGGUG